UAGUCCACGCCGUAAACGAUGUUAACUCGCUGUUGGCGAUAUACUGUCAGCGGCCAAGCGAAAGCGUUAAGUUAACCACCUGGGGAGUACGCCCGCAAGGGUGAAACUCAAAGGAAUUGACGGGGGCCCGCACAAGCGGAGGAGCAUGUGGUUUAAUUCGAUGAUACGCGAGGAACCUUACCUGAACUUAAAUGGAGAACGACGGUUGUGGAAACACAUCCUUCUUUUAGACGUUCUUCAAGGUGCUGCAUGGUUGUCGUCAGCUCGUGCCGUGAGGUGUUGGGUUAAGUCCCGCAACGAGCGCAACCCCUAUCGUUAGUUGCCAUCACUUUGGGUGGGGACUCUAACGAGACUGCCUGCGCAAGCAGUGAGGAAGGCGGGGAUGACGUCAAAUCAUCAUGGCCCUUACGUUCAGGGGCUACACACGUGCUACAAUGGCAAGUACAACGGGGCUGCUACUACGCAAGUAGAUGCUAAUCCCC
RNAcentral lists this ribosomal RNA (482 nucleotides) under uncultured bacterium. Its description in RNAcentral is "bacterial SSU rRNA". It matches the Rfam family "Bacterial small subunit ribosomal RNA", at positions 791 to 1276 of the family's 1533-position model. The record is from RNAcentral.